UCCGAAUUGGUGUAGUGGCCAACAUUUGGUGCUCUCAUUACGAUAUAUCCAAUAUCUAAGUGAUCCGCCAAGCCCGGGGUUCGAUUCCCCGAUUCGGAG
RNAcentral lists this transfer RNA (99 nucleotides) under Hypoxylon rubiginosum. Its description in RNAcentral is "tRNA-Glu". The record is from RNAcentral. Lineage: Eukaryota; Fungi; Ascomycota; Sordariomycetes; Xylariales; Hypoxylaceae.